GUGGGGAAUUUUGGACAAUGGGCGCAAGCCUGAUCCAGCAAUGCCGCGUGUGUGAAGAAGGCCUUCGGGUUGUAAAGCACUUUUGUCCGGAAAGAAAUGGCCUGGGUUAAUACCCCGGGUCGAUGACGGUACCGGAAGAAUAAGCACCGGCUAACUACGUGCCAGCAGCCGCGGUAAUACGUAGGGUGCGAGCGUUAAUCGGAAUUACUGGGCGUAAAGCGUGCGCCGGCGGCGAUGCAAGACAGAUGUGAAAUCACCGGGCUCAACCUGGGAAGUGCGUUUGUGGAUGCAUGGCUAGAGUGCGUCAGAGGGGGGUGGAGUUCCGCGUGUAGCAGUGAAAUGCGUAGAGAUGCGGAGGAACACCGAUGGCGAAGGCAGCCCCCUGGGAUGACACUGACGCUCAUGCACGAAAGCGUGGGGAGCAAACAGGAUUAGAAACCCUGGUAGUCC
This 450-nucleotide ribosomal RNA is filed under the name uncultured bacterium. Its description in RNAcentral is "partial 16S ribosomal RNA". It matches the Rfam family "Bacterial small subunit ribosomal RNA", at positions 354 to 796 of the family's 1533-position model. The record is from RNAcentral.